This is an RNA transcript of Zingiber officinale, 2447 nucleotides long. It is a transcript of the gene named homeobox-leucine zipper protein HDG5-like, with no coding region annotated. The transcript is spliced from 9 exons. The record is from RefSeq and is a predicted model, not a curated record. NCBI's taxonomy places the organism in Eukaryota, Viridiplantae, Streptophyta, Magnoliopsida, Zingiberales, Zingiberaceae.
CAUUUUCGUCCAACCUAAGAUCUCUUCACCUACUUUACAUUUUUUUCUCCUUUCCUCUCCAAGCCAUAAACCUGCCGCCCCUUCUCCUUUCCUCUCCAAGCCCUAAACCCAUCGCCCCUUCACGACUCAUAGCGAACUAGUCGCGGGGAGGUAGAGAGAUGGGCAACAGAGGCCACAAGUGUAGGAGCAACCAGGGGGGCACUGCCAUGGUCAUAAUGAACAGCAUCACCCGAGUGGAUGCCUUCCUCGACGCCAAUAAGUGGAUGGAGCUUUUCCCUUCGAUUGUGUCAAAAUCAAGAACAGUUCAGGUGCUGAGUUCCAGAGUCACUGGUGGAAACAACUGCUUGCAACUGAUGCACGGAGAGUUGCAGUUUUUGUCGCCUUUGGUGGCGGCGAGAGAAACAUAUUUCUUCAGGUACUGCCAACAGAACUCGGAAGAAUUAGGCAGUUGGAUAGUGGUAGACUUUCCAGUUGAUGGAUUUGUGGAAGGGGUUCAAACAUGCUUCCCUUGGUAUAGAAGGAGGACUUCAGGCUGCAUCAUUCAAGAUAUGCCCAAUGGUUAUUCAAGGGUGAUGUGGGUAGAGCAUGCAGAGGUGGAUGAUAAGCCAGUGCAUCAAGCUUUCAACCAAUUUGUCACCAGUGGCAUGACUUUUGGUGCAACUCGCUGGGUUUCUACUCUUCAAAGGCAAUAUUUUGGGUCAUGCAAUCCUUGCUUUAAUUCUGUGGAGUCGUGCUAGUUCUCUCGAUCUCACGAGCAAAGCUGCAAUAACAUCUUUCUACAUGUUUAUUUGGAAGCUCUUCUAUGCAGAAUACUUGCUCAUUCCACUAGUGAGAUGAUUCCUGCAAACAAGUUGAAAGUGUAGAAGGAAGCUACUCCAAUCUUCAAGAUGGAUUAUCUACAUAUGAAAGUGUAGAUGGAAUCUACAGAUGGUUUCGACCAGAACCUACAGUCAGUAGUGGCUUUCCCAAAGAGUUAUCCUCUGAGAAGGUAUCAGCAUUAGGGGAUCAGUAUAUGAGCUCUAGAUGGAAUUUAAAUAACUUCCCUCGGCUUCCAGGCUCUGUUUUAUCGUUUGAAAGUGGAGACAUUUAUGGUGUUCUAGUGCCAUGGUUGUAUGUUGGAAUAUGCUUUUCCUCCUUUUGUUGGCAUGUGGAAGAUCAUCAUCUAUACUCAUUAAACUAUAUGCACUGGGGUGCACCAAAAAUAUAGUAUGGAGUCGCAGGGAAAGAUGUCUUAAAAUUAGAGGAAGCUAUGAAAAAAAAAUCUGCCAGAUUUGUCUGAAGAACAACUGGACUUGCUGCACAGUCUUGUGACACAAUUUUGACCUUCUCUUUUACGGUUGGAAGGUGUACCUGUAUAUCAUUGUGUUCAAAAUGAAGGAGAAUUUGUUCUCACGUUCCCAUGAGCAUAUCAUUCUAGUUUCAAUUCUGGAUUCAAUUAUGCGGAGAUUGUAAAUGUGGCUCCUGUUGAUUGGCUGCUCCAUGGACAGCAUACCGUGGAGCUUUACCGCGAACAGGGACGCAGGAUAUCCAUAUCACAUGACAAAUUAUGUCUCUUUAUUAGAUAUCAAUGCAAUAUCUUGAUCAAUUAUCUCACUAAUAUGUAAUUUUUUUUCAAUAGAGACUAAUCAAAUCUGACUUAAUAAAUAAUUUAAUUUUAUUACCAUUAAUUCAAUUGUCAAUUUAUGUGUCCCAUUUCAAUAAUUAAGCUAUUUUUACAAAUUAUGUUUCUUUUUUAGAUAUCAAUAUAGUAUUCAAUUAUCUACUAAUAUACAAUUUUUUCAAUAGAGAUUAAUCAAAUUGGUUUAAUAAAUAAUUUAAUUUUAUUAUCAUUAAUUCACUUGUCACUUUAUGGGUCCCAUUUCAAUAAUUCUACUAUUUUGGAAAAUUAUGUCACUUUCUUAGAUAUCAAUGCAAUAUCUUGGUCAAUUAUUUCACUAGUAUCUUGAUCCUGUCUGAAGGCUGAGAAGGUGACAUACUGGCUCAGGUUUAUUGACAAGUAGUUGGUUCUCUUUGAAGCUCCUCAACGAUCCUGCACACAAUUAGACGAUCCAACAAAGCGUUAGUGACCAAAGACCAAGGAAGGGAUCACUGGCAAGACCCUCUAGCGCUCAUGUCAAUCUCAUUUCCUGGCCCGUGGGCGAAGAAGAAGAACAGUAGUGGAAAUACUUGUGUGAUUCUAGAGUUUAGAUGAUGCUAGUUGCGUACCUUAUCAACGGAGAAGGUCCUCCUUUAUAUACCACUUCUCUCAACUCCUCUGAUCAUGAGGUGACUUCAGGUGUCAGAGUUUGUUAGGUAAGGAAAAAAGUACAUCCUGGAUGAUUUGCGAUGACAAUCUGAGGAAUCUUUUUUUUUCUACCCAUAAAUAUACCUUUUUUAUCGCUUAUGAGUUAAGCUUUUAUGAAGUGAUUAGAGGAGUAUGAUGUUAUAACUGAUCAAUCAAAGAGGAA